RNAcentral lists this ribosomal RNA (440 nucleotides) under uncultured bacterium. RNAcentral describes it as "partial 16S ribosomal RNA". It matches the Rfam family "Bacterial small subunit ribosomal RNA", at positions 338 to 795 of the family's 1533-position model. The record is from RNAcentral.
CCUACGGGAGGCAGCAGUAGGGAAUAUUGCUCAAUGGGGGAAACCCUGAUGCAGCAACGCCGCGUGGAGGAUGAAGGUUUUCGGAUUGUAAACUCCUUUUGUUAGAGAAGAUAAUGACGGUAUCUAACGAAUAAGCACCGGCUAACUCCGUGCCAGCAGCCGCGGUAAUACGGAGGGUGCAAGCGUUACUCGGAAUCACUGGGCGUAAAGAGCGCGUAGGCGGGGUAGCAAGUCAGAUGUGAAAUCCUAUGGCUUAACCAUAGAACUGCAUUUGAAACUGUUAUUCUAGAGUAUGGGAGAGGUAAGUGGAAUUCUUGGUGUAGGGGUAAAAUGCGUAGAGAUCAAGAGGAAUACUCAUGGCGAAGGCGACCUGCUAGAACAUAACUGACGCUGAUGCGCGAAAGCGUGGGGAGCAAACAGGAUUAGAUACCCUUGUAGUC